AUUGAACGCUGGCGGCAUGCCUUACACAUGCAAGUCGAACGGUAACGGGCCUUCGGGUGCCGACGAGUGGCGCACGGGUGAGUAAUACAUCGGCACGUGCCCGAUCGUGGGGGAUAACGAGGCGAAAGCUUUGCUAAUACCUCAUACGAUCUACGGAUGAAAGCAGGGGACCGCAAGGCCUUGCGCGGACGGAGCGGCCGAUGGCAGAUUAGGUAGUUGGUGGGAUAAAAGCUUACCAAGCCGACGAUCUGUAGCUGGUCUGAGAGGAUGAUCAGCCACACUGGGACUGAGACACGGCCCAGACUCCUACGGGAGGCAGCAGUGGGGAAUUUUGGACAAUGGGCGCAAGCCUGAUCCAGCCAUGCCGCGUGCAGGAUGAAGGCCUUCGGGUUGUAAACUGCUUUUGUACGGAACGAAAAGCCUUCUUUUAAUACAGGAGGGUCAUGACGGUACCGUAAGAAUAAGCACCGGCUAACUACGUG
This 482-nucleotide ribosomal RNA is filed under the name uncultured bacterium. RNAcentral's name for it is "partial 16S ribosomal RNA". It matches the Rfam family "Bacterial small subunit ribosomal RNA", at positions 30 to 507 of the family's 1533-position model. The record is from RNAcentral.